CCUCUUUGAGAAAUUAAUAUAAUACUUCAGUAAUAUUAGAGCUUAAUAUCUCCUCAAAGCCU
RNAcentral lists this transfer RNA (62 nucleotides) under Sminthopsis dolichura (little long-tailed dunnart). Its description in RNAcentral is "tRNA-Lys". Lineage: Eukaryota; Metazoa; Chordata; Mammalia; Dasyuromorphia; Dasyuridae. The record is from RNAcentral.